ACAAGUCACCACCACCACCGGCUCCAACCUAUGUCUACAAAUCUCCACCACCACCAACUCCGACUUACGUCUACAAGUCGCCGCCUCCUCCAACCCCAACAUAUGUCUACAAAUCGCCUCCUCCUCCUACCCCAACAUACGUAUACAAGUCUCCUCCACCACCAACUCCAACUUACGUAUACAAAUCACCACCACCGCCGACUCCAACUUACGUCUACAAGUCGCCUCCUCCACCUACGCCAACCUAUGUCUAUAAAUCUCCACCGCCACCAACCCCGACUUAUGUUUACAAGUCACCACCACCUCCGACUCCGACAUACAUUUACAAGUCUCCACCACCUCCUACUCCGACUUAUGUCUACAAGUCACCACCUCCACCAACCCCUACAUAUGUCUAUAAGUCACCACCUCCACCCACUCCGACCUACGUCUACAAGUCACCACCACCUCCAACUCACACUCCUACACCAUACUACUACCAUUCUCCACCACCACCAGUAAAAUCCCCUCCACCUCCUUAUUACUACCACUCACCACCACCACCGGUUAAAUCUCCACCACCACCAUACUACUAUCAUUCACCACCUCCUCUGGUGAAGUCUCCUCCACCACCAUACUAUUACCAUUCACCACCACCUCCAGUAAAAUCUCCUCCCCCCCCAUACUACUAUCACUCCCCACCUCCUCCAGUGAAGUCUCCUCCGCCACCUUACUAUUAUCACUCCCCACCUCCUCCAGUAAAAUCACCACCACCACCAUAUUAUUACCACUCUCCACCUCCUCCCGUGAAAUCCCCCCCACCUCCAUACUACUACCACUCACCACCCCCUCCGGUAAAAUCACCCCCACCACCAUAUUACUAUCACUCCCCACCUCCACCAGUGAAAUCCCCACCACCACCGUACUACUACCAUUCUCCACCCCCACCGGUAAAAUCUCCGCCACCACCAUACUAUUACCACUCCCCACCUCCUCCGGUGAAAUCUCUACCACCACCGUACUAUUACCAUUCACCACCUCCUCCGGUGAAAUCUCCUCCUCCACCAUACUACUAUCACUCACCUCCUCCACCAGUAAAAUCUCCUCCGCCACCGUACUAUUACCACUCUCCACCUCCUCCAGUGAAGUCGCCUCCACCUCCUUAUUACUACCACUCACCUCCUCCUCCGGUGAAAUCCCCACCACCACCAUAUUAUUACCACUCACCACCCCCACCCGUCAAAUCUCCUCCACCUCCAUAUUAUUACCACUCACCACCUCCUCCGGUGAAAUCUCCACCACCACCAUAUUAUUACCACUCACCUCCUCCUCCGGUGAAAUCUCCACCACCACCAUAUUACUACCAUUCACCUCCCCCUCCAGUCAAAUCUCCACCACCACCAUAUUACUACCAUUCACCUCCCCCUCCAGUGAAAUCCCCACCACCACCAUAUUACUACCAUUCACCACCUCCUCCAGUGAAAUCUCCACCACCACCAUACUACUACAACUCUCCACCACCACCAGUAAAAUCUCCCCCACCUCCCGUCUACAUCUACGCUUCUCCCCCACCUCCUACCCAUUACUAGGCUCGUCAAAUUCAACCAAGUUUCCCCAUUAUUCAAGUAAGUCCCAAGGCUCCAAUAUUCUAAGUAUGCUCCAUAUC
Molecule: long non-coding RNA, 1645 nt
Filed under: Brassica rapa (field mustard)
Lineage: Eukaryota; Viridiplantae; Streptophyta; Magnoliopsida; Brassicales; Brassicaceae
Description: long non-coding RNA (BRAP_LNC003223)
Source: RNAcentral